AUCUGGAAAUUUAUGGGGAAUGAAACCAGAGCUAUUGAAUUUCAGUGUAUUUUACAUAUCUGUCAGCAUCAGCUUCUGCUCUUUCCUACAGGCUUACAUGGUGCUGUGUCUCCACGGGCAGCUUGCAACAAGAAACUCACCAUACCUGAAACCCUCUUGAUAAGGAAAGACAAAUGCUAAUGGGGUUGGUUCUUUUCCUCUUUUCUGCUUAUUCUCUGCUUUUUGGAGUUCUCUGCUAUCCUCAUUUUUAGGCAAACAUGCCUUACCCUAUUUCUGUCACUCACAUUUCCUUCCCUCUGUGCUGCUCACCUCCUUGUGAAGCCUUAAAUAUCUCUUUGUUGCAUCUCACUGUUCAUUAGGAUAUUUAGGCAUCUUCCAGCUGCUCCAUCUGGGGUUUUUAAUUGGAACAAGGAUGCCUGAGGGUGAAAAGAGGAAAAGAGAAGAUGAGGGAGCAAGUAAGGUGUGGGUAGGGCAGAAUACAGAUUUUUCACAGCUGGGAGGGGAAGGAGCUCCCCUGCAAGCAAGCAAGAGGAGGGGAAAGAGAUAGGAGGGAGCCAGGUGAAGAGAGUUUUGGAAACUCUGAUUAGUUAAUGUUUGUAAAGUGCUGUUCGGGUGGCAAAGUCAGCUGUGUGUGCUAAUCUACUAAUCUGUGUUUUGUGGAGUGUCCUGGUUCAUGAAUCUUGGCUGAUUAAUCACAGCUGACUUGUCAAUAGCAAGGGCUGAUGGUAGUGUAAUAUAAAAAUUAGGCAGCAAGGGAGGUUAGGUUUUUCCUCUUUUCUGGAGCAGAAGGGGAUUUUACUUUGAGGAACUUUUAGAAGAUUCCCUCUUUGAGUGGAGAGAGCUCUUCCCCCAGCAGAAGGAUCCCCUGGCUGACCCUGGUGUGCCCCCUGCUCUGGUGCAGAGAAGGUAGCAAGAGAAGUUCCCAGAGAUGGUUUUAAUUCCAGUGUGUCCUGUGUUCCCCAAGCAGCUCGCUGUCCCCAUCCCAGGUUGGGGAAAAAUCCUUGAGCCGGAGCUCGGUGCUGCAUCCAGAGCCUCGCGACAGGAGCUGUGCCUCGAGUGGAGACUUCUGGAGCUGUGAGGAAAACAAGAUUAAAGAAGAAAUCUUUGGCAAUGGAGUGCUACAAUAACUGAACUGCUGACUUUUUUCAAUGGAUAUAUUAAGGCUAUUAAGCUGAGAAGGAUCAUAAUGGAAAGUGACACUGAAAAAUCACAGUGAGCCAUAGUAAGAUAUUGUCUGGUGUGCAGUGUAUCAAGCAGCCUGGAUAAUGGAUUGCCAUCCCAAAUCUCAAGCAAUUCAAGUGAUGGAUUUUCAUCCCAUGACAAGUCAGGACCAAUUGCUCUCGAGGUUGUGCAUUAAAGUCCUGAGAUGCCAUCAGUUUUGGGGAGAAAUCUCUAUCAAGGUCGUUCUGUUUGCUGCAUCAGUUGCUCACUUACAUCAGGGGGACCCCGCAGCGCACGGCGGUGCCUUGAGAUGCCAAUUACUCUGAUUUGGAAUUUUGUGUACAGUAAUUAAAGAGCCAGGUAGCAGCAGACAUGUGUUACCCCGAGAUAACACACUCCUUGGAAAGUUCAUGAGGCAGGAGGUGAAGUGAGUGCCUCCAGUGACCUGGGGAAGGCAUUUAUCUCAGCGCUGCACGAGCUGGGGGGGCACUGCCACUGUGCACCAGCUAUCAGCCCUAUCAGCUGCGCUGUGAUUGAUUGCAGCAUGUCAAACAGAUGUUUAAAACAUGUUCAGCCUUGUGCAUCAUGUGAUAAUUAUGUCUGGCUCUGAAGGAGCAAUGUAUCAGGUGUGAGGAGAUAGGAGCGUGAAGUGUUUGGGUUUGGUUUUUUUGUUUGCACUGGGAUACGCAUGACUGGCAAAAGUUAUCUUGAAAGGGACUUUGAGCUCCAGAGUGCCACAGCUUCAGCAAACCCAACAUCCAUAAUGCAGGAGAGUGCUCGCAUGGAACUGGCUCAAGUGGAGCUUUCAGAGCUGGUGUGUAUUAUUCCUUUUUUUUUCACAAAUGUGGGUGUGCACAAGCAUGUGUUUGCACACACAGAGCGAUCUCCACGGUGUUUAUUUUAAAUCCAUUAUUAUUUUUACCCCCUGCCCAGUGCUGUGAAUUAUUUCAUUCUUCAGGUGACUGACAGGCAAUGUUUUUCCAGCAGCACAGAGCAGCCUGGCACUGUCCCUGGGACGAGGGCUGGCUGCUCAGCACAGCCCUGGCAGACAAAGGGCUUUGUGCUGCCUGCUCUGCCCACAUCACACCCAGGAGAAAGGUCUAUCUUUAAUCUGGGCUGCUCGGGAAAUCAAAGGGGGGGGAUUAAAACAAGACCAGUGACUGAUUUCCGUAGGAGAUCGCUUUCCUGUUUCAUUUGAUAGAAUGAACAGCAGAAUCAAAGCAAGGUUAGAAGCCCCAUGUACCUUUUUUUUUUUCCCAGCAAUUUUUGUGAUGUCAGUUCACAAGGUAUUAUAAUAAUGGAACACAUGUGCGAUAAUGAUUUUAGAAAUUUUCCUUCUUUUUUUACCUUAGAACAAUUUGCAUAUAGAUGCUCUGGCAAGGUGUGUGCCUUCUGAGUCAUCAGGCUUGUAGUUAAACAUGUUAAAGCUGAUUAAAUCUGCAGCUGUUUGUUUCUUUGCCUUCUUUUGAUCUCUGCUAAAAAUAGCCCCAGUGCCUUCAUAAGGACUAAAUUUCAAAGGUAUGGUGGGAUGUUGCUUCAGCCCUGGAUUUGAACAGCCAAUAAAGAACAGCAAAAAUCUGGUUUGUGCUCAGAGGAAAGAACAGUGAGAGGAAGGCAGGAGCUGUGGAAGAGUCCCCAAGCUUGGCUGGGCUCCCAAGUGCUUUAUCAAGGAGGGAAAUGUUGUGCCCUUUCUUGGCAAUGCCCCCCUACAAGUGAAAUGUACUUCUCUCAUGUGUUUUAGACAAACUGGUGAAUUUUUUUCCCCUUCUUUUUUUAUAUCUGUAAAAUGAGGUUAAGGUGGCAGUGCAAGAUCUUGGCUUAUUCUGUGCUGGCUUUCUUUGCACUUCAGUGGAAUCCACAUGGGAUGGUGAUACCCAGCUCUGCAUUGCUGCUAUUUCUCACUUUAAUGACCCUGGUAAAUCUUUAAUGAUUGCCAUCACUGUCAGAAGGGCACAAAGGGCCCUCAUCUGUCUUGAUGCAACCUAAGAAAAUAUGCUCACAGAUGUCAGUUAAAAUAAUGGCAUUGGUGGUAGGUCACUUGGAUUUUUAUGGGUACCCACCUCUUCUUGCAAAAAGCAGCACAGAAAUCCCACUCUUCAUCAUUAUAAUCACUUAAAAAACCUAAAUGUCCAUAUCCUAGGUUUUGGGGGUUUUUUAUUAACUAGGGCAGCACAUUCCAGACAAAAAGAAUUGAUUCAGGCACUUCACAGGAAUGGGCCUCCUCAUUUCUGUAUUCCAGAGCAGCUGAGACAUAAGAUCUUAUUUUAAAUUAGGCAUUUCCAAGUGUGAGAUUUUCACCCAAAAAUUUGCUUGAAAGUCCAUGUUAGAAGAAUCCAUUCAACAUCAGAACAAAGCUUUUUCCACCACUCAAGCAUUGUUUCAUCAUGAGUGAUUUCCCUGUCAUAGCAUAGCCUUUAAGACAUAAUUCUCUCAAAUUAUGGGGUGUGCUAGCAGCCCUCAGAGUCAGAAACUGGAUAUACACAUCUCCUGCUCUCAUUAAUAGCACUUGCCUGCCUAAUUCACUGAGCAGCACAGAGAAGAUGGAGCCCUGUGGGUCAACAGCAAUGGAUUCAAUGAGGUCUUCACCUUCUAAAAAUGUCAUUAGUGGGAGUAAGAGCUGGCUGUGGGCCCUGGUGUUUGCUACAGCCCUCUGGAGAGCAUAAAUCUGACACAGAGGUGCUCAGGCUUGCCUGGGGAAGCUCCCACCCAUUGUUCCAUUGGCCGCCACUCUCGUUCACUCUAUUUCUACUGUGUCACCAGCUCAUCUGAGUGUAGGGACAGACACUGAGGCCUUGCCUCCUGUCUGCACCAUUCCCAGAAUUAAAUGUUCAUGCUAAGCUAACUCACAUCUUUAAAUGAGUUCAGUUCCCACCAAAAUUUGUCCCCAUAUAGUUUUUCAUGCCUGGUUCAGUUGCAAGGCUCACACUGGGUUUGCACGUUGAUCUGGACAAGGAGAAGGUUUUUCUGGUCAUCUCUAAAGCAGGGACUUGGUGGCACUUCUGCUUAGUGGUGAUGGAGUGUGGGAUCAGAUUAAUCUGUCUCCUGGAGCUGGGUGUUUUUGUUUUCCGUAUUAUAAUGUACUCAACUACAUAUUAAAUCUAAUUUUUUUCUUGCUUUCCACAGUAAUGUCAAGGCACUCUAUCUCCGAACCUGAUCAGUAAAAUGGGGGUGUAUUUAAGAACCCUCCUUCUUGGGCUGUUGUUCAAAACAGAAAAAAACUUGAGAACUUUUCUGCUGUGUGUGGUAAUUAAUAUUUGAAUCCAUUUAAUAUCCAGAGCCUGACAUUAGGAAAGUGUGGAUGACCUAGAAAACCACAAUGUAAUCUUAUUUAAAAAACCCAAAGAAGUAUUCAAGCUCUAAUAAAUCAUUAUUUUAUUCAUAAACCAUAUAUUCAUAGCAGAUUUUAUUACACUUCUAUGCUCACCUAACUUUGUAGUCUCUUUUGAUUUUCUUUUUGUCUGUAGUUAUUUUCCACUUCUAAGACAUUUGAUCUGUGUUUUCCUUUAGACCUCUGCCUCUUUGUAUAGAUUACUAGAAAGGAGCUCAAUUACAAUUUUGUCUCUGAUGUGGAUAUUUCUUUAUUGAAGGUUGUACAAAGGCAUCCUUUCUCAAGCUCCAUUUCAAACAGGGCUUCAAAUAUAAACCAUAAAAAAUAAAAAUAAAUAAAUAGCUAAUCUGAGCAGGCCAAGACAUGUUUAAUUUCAGCUUUCAUGGCUGUGUGCUUGGUACAAUGUCAGCAGCAAGUGUUCACAAUCUUCUGUGCUACACAAUUUGAGCAGUCUCAGGACUUCCAAUAUUCUAUUAGAGGAUUUUAUGUUCAGCUCCUCGAAAAAAAUAGAUUCUUGAAGAAUGUAUCAUAGUAGUUCAGCUGUAAUUUGAGGAUGCAGAAUUCCUCUGCUAAAUAUGCAUUUUUUCUCCCUUGGAUAUGGGAUUUCCUGUUGGCAUUUUGUGUUUUGCUCCUGCAAAUAAACACAGCACAGAACUUUACAGUCUGUGAUGAGGCAAUGUGAGAGUGUUCUUCUGGGAAUGCAUUUUUUACAUGUGUUAAUAUAAACGAUGCAAUAGUUCCACAGUUAAAAUUUUCACUUAAAUGUAUUUUAACCCACUUUGGCAGAUAUGGAUUUAUAGAAAGACUGUUCACCCUACACUUACAGCACUUACUGUGAUUGCUGGGUUAGUUCUGUGAGAAUUUAUGAGCAAUGAUAUUAAUUAGCUGAGUUAUACAUUUUAUUAGAUACAAUUUUCCAGCCAUAUAAUUCUUGGAAUCUGAAAGACAAAAAUUGACCUACUUGGGGUUUAUUCCACAGUCAAGGCUAGAGAUUUUGAGUCUUUCUCUGUAGGCAUAUUUUAGGUAAUGAUGUAAUAGUUUUUAUCAAUUUCCAUGUCGUGUUGUAAUGUUUUCUUGAUGCUAUUUUGUCUUCAAACAUCUUUGAGAUGAAAAUUCAAUUGAUGUAGUGCUGCUUGUUUAGAAAGAGAGGGAUGCACAGCUGAGUUUUCCCCAAUGACUGGUAUAUGAAGACUAGAUAGAAUAUUUUCAGUUAAAGAAGGCUUGAGUUUCAAGUUGUUAAACAUAAAACUCUUUUAAGGUAUUUGAACGUUGGUGACUUCAUGUUAAGGAGAUAUUUCAGAGACAGAUGGUAUUUGUGUUUGAAGUUAUGUCCUGACUGCUCUGCAGGAUACAGGACUCUUCUCUAUAGACUUCUAACCUCAAAGGAACAAUCUUGCUGCUAAUAUUUCCUUACUGAGAUGGAUGGAGAGCAAAACAAAAAACGUUGUGUCAUCCUAACCUCUGAGUAGAAAGGGAUGAUGGAACCUGAGCUGCACUUGCACUUGAUGGGAACAGGAUUUGGCACACUUGGCAGGAAAUGUCACCAUUUUUCAAAGUAUCGAAUCCAGAUCUGGCUGGCAAAGUGAACAUGCUCAAUGGCUGUUGGGCGUGGGGGAGAGGAUGCUUCAAGAGAACACAGACUGAAGAGGAGCCAUAUGUCAUUUGUCAGCUGUGGGCUGAAGGUGAAAUCCCCCACCCUGAGACCUCCAUGGGGCUCAGGAAAAGACCCAGACACUGCAGCCACCUCCCCAGCUGCCACCUCAAGCCCAUGAUUCUUCUGAUGUUCUGGACCUCUGCUUGCAUCCUACUGGGGGAGCUGAAGUGCCCUGCAUUAGGACAUGGUGAAAUCCAAGCUCUGUCAGCUGCUCAGGUGACUGAAUCCUACAGACUCUCCCCAGGAAACACAACUGGAUGUGAUUCAUUGUGGCUCCUGGGAAGGAGGGACAGAAAUGACCACCUGCAAUUCCUUGGGAUUCUAAUUCAGCACCACCUCAGGUUCUUUUGCCAGCAAAAAUACUGAGUUCAGCUGCAGCUGCAUCAAUUAGCUCCUCAAGCCUGCAAGUAGUGACACCAGUGACACUUUUUUGGGGUGCAUGUUGGACCUACUGGACAAGACAGACGCUGAGGUGGUGGAAGGAUUCUUGUGAGGAGCUGCUGAGUUUGUUGGGGUUGUUUAACCUGAAGAAAAGGAGGUUCAAGGAAGACUUUGUCACCCUCUCCUUUGAGAGUGAGGUGGGGAUCAGAUUCUUCUCUCAGGUAACAAGUGUCAGGACGAGAGGAAACAUCCUCAAGCUGCACUAAUGGAGGUCUCUGCCAUGGAUGACUUCUGCCUCUUCUUCCAGCAGGUCAUGGAUGUGGCAGCUGCUGAGCCUUUGCAUGAGUGGGAAGGGUGAGCAGCUCUGUGGAGGGACUGUGCUGACAGAAAACACAUUUAAUCAGGAUGGAUCCCUUCUCACAAUGUCCUUUCCCUCAUGAAACUCGACAGAAAAGCACAACAGAGGCAGCUGGGUUUGCUGCUAAUCUCUUGCCUUUCACCUGGGUUUGUUUCCCCUGCCUUAAUGUCUCCUGUCAGCUUUUGCUGUGUCCAUCCUUCCUUUUUUUGCUGAGCCUCUACUGUCAGGCAGAAGAGGGGAUCUAAUUUAGGGUUCAGCCAUCAACAGAAUAUAAAUUUGGCAGCAUGUCAUGAGCAUACUUCAAUAUGCUGUGUAAUUUAUAAGGCAAUGCAUCCAUUUUUAAGGCCAGCCCUGAAUCCCAGUAUAUCAAAAAGCAGAAGAAUAGAUUGCUGCUGCCACUUAUAAUAAUGUGUCCAGAAAUACAUUGUGUGAGAGGCCUUGUAUCCAUCAAUGAAAGUGUUUUAAUUCUCCUUUUAGUGGCUAUGUACCAUGUAUUUAGUAGAAGUUAUGGCUAGGAUGACUUCAUUGAUAAAGCCCUAUUUCAUGUAGCACAAAAGCAGAACAAAAGAUUUAAUAAUCUCUGGUGUAUCAUGUGGAUUCCCAUUGUGUGGCAUUGACUUCAGGGGACUGAAAUUUCUCUAAUUAGGGUUUUUUCUCUGUCCUGAGUUCCUGGAAAAAUCAGAAUUCAAAACUCAAGGAUACAGCUUGACAUGGGUUGAACACGUUUGAUAAAAUGGAAGGGAUAGAGAAGUUCUGGAGACAGCUUUAAAAUGCACCCACUGCUUUCGCUGAUAUUUUAUAGGGGAGAUUCUUCCCUCUGGGCAAAGCAAAGAGGGAGGUGGUCAGGGAUUUUCUCUCUGGCCAUGGGGAGGGGAUGGAAGGUGACCUUUGCAUUUCCAUUCCUUUUCUGUUCUAGUCUGGUGGCAAGCAC
Passer domesticus (house sparrow) is the source of this 7813-nucleotide long non-coding RNA. RefSeq lists it as uncharacterized. The transcript has 12 exons. The record is from RefSeq and is a predicted model, not a curated record. NCBI's taxonomy places the organism in Eukaryota, Metazoa, Chordata, Aves, Passeriformes, Passeridae.